Phrynosoma platyrhinos (Desert horned lizard) is the source of this 70-nucleotide non-coding RNA. NCBI's taxonomy places the organism in Eukaryota, Metazoa, Chordata, Lepidosauria, Squamata, Phrynosomatidae. The record is from the annotation of a GenBank genome assembly.
AUCAGCAUGGUAUAGUGGUUUGAACAUUGGACUGCAACUCUAAAGAUCUGGGUUCAUUUCCUUGCUCAGA